Molecule: ribosomal RNA, 498 nt
Filed under: uncultured bacterium
Lineage: Bacteria
Description: partial 16S ribosomal RNA
Rfam family: Bacterial small subunit ribosomal RNA
Source: RNAcentral
AUUGAACGCUGGCGGCAUGCCUUACACAUGCAAGUCGAACGGUAACAGGUCUUCGGACGCUGACGAGUGGCGAACGGGUGAGUAAUACAUCGGAACGUGCCCAGUCGUGGGGGAUAACUACUCGAAAGAGUAGCUAAUACCGCAUACGAUCUGAGGAUGAAAGCGGGGGACCUUCGGGCCUCGCGCGAUUGGAGCGGCCGAUGGCCGAUUAGGUAGUUGGUGGGAUAAAAGCUUACCAAGCCGACGAUCUGUAGCAGGUCUGAGAGGACGACCAGCCAGACUGGGACUGAGACACGGCACAGACUCCUACGGGAGGCAGCAGUGGGGAAUUUUGGACAAUGGGCGAAAGCCUGAUCCAGCAAUGCCGCGUGCAGGAUGAAGGCCUUCGGGUUGUAAACUGCUUUUGUACGGAACGAAAGAGCUCCUUCUAAUACAGGGGGCCCAUGACGGUACCGUAAGAAUAAGCACCGGCUAACUACGUGCCAGCCGCCGCCGUAA